RNAcentral lists this long non-coding RNA (275 nucleotides) under Cyanistes caeruleus (blue tit). Its description in RNAcentral is "lncRNA (ENSCCEG00000011538.1)". The record is from RNAcentral. Lineage: Eukaryota; Metazoa; Chordata; Aves; Passeriformes; Paridae.
UACGGAUAUGCAGCCUGUGCUCAUCAUUAAACCAGAGGUAGGAUUCCCAGCUGGUGGACAGAAAUGCUUAAAGCCACGUACUGACCUGCAGAGAAGAAGGAAUUGCUGUUCCUCCCUGGGCUGUGGAUGAUAGUGCAGGUGCUGUGGGAGCUGUUCUGUCAAGGUGGAGCCAGGUCAGCAAAUUCUUUAAGUCUUCUUAUGUCUAGAGAAGGAGGUUUGCAAUAUCUGUAUUAAUGUAAAAAGAGGAAGUGAGGAAGGCUUCCAGGCAAGUAUGU